Molecule: ribosomal RNA, 433 nt
Filed under: uncultured bacterium
Lineage: Bacteria
Description: bacterial SSU rRNA
Rfam family: Bacterial small subunit ribosomal RNA
Source: RNAcentral
AUUGAACGCUGGCGGCAGGCUUAACACAUGCAAGUCGAGCGAGGACUUCGGUCCUAGCGGCGGACGGGUGAGUAACGCGUGGGAACGUGCCCUUUGGUUCGGAAUAGCCCUGGGAAACUGGGAGUAAUACCGGAUGAGCUCUUCGGAGGAAAGAUUUAUCGCCAAAGGAUCGGCCCGCGUUGGAUUAGGUAGUUGGUGGGGUAAUGGCCUACCAAGCCGACGAUCCAUAGCUGGUUUGAGAGGAUGAUCAGCCACACUGGGACUGAGACACGGCCCAGACUCCUACGGGAGGCAGCAGUGGGGAAUCUUAGACAAUGGGGGAAACCCUGAUCUAGCCAUGCCGCGUGAUCGAUGAAGGCCUUAGGGUUGUAAAGAUCUUUCAGGCGGGAAGAUAAUGACUGUACCACCAGAAGAAGCCCCGGCUAACUCCGUG